CGGCAGCUAGGCUUGCAUGUUCUCCAAAGUCAGCCGCUGCUUGAGCAGCAGAGGUUGCAUCCUUAAAUUUCAUGUUAAAUUCUGCCUGCCAACAGAAAAAUUACCAUUACCAUCUCAAGGAAAUGAUUGCCUUUGUUCCAACUUUUCAUCCUUGAAACCCUAAGUGGCAUGAACGACCAUAAUCAAAAAAAUAUUGCCUUUAAAGUUCUACAACAGCUCUGGCAGCUAGGCUUGCAUGUUCUGCAAACUCAGCCGCUGCUUGAGCAGUAGAGGUAGCAUCCUUAAAUUUCAUGUUCCAACCCUGCCUACCAACAGAAAAUUACCAUUACCAUCUCAAGGCAAUGAUUGCCCAUGUUCAAACCUUUUAUCCUUGAAAACUAAGUGGCAUGAACCACUAUCAUCAACACAAUAUUGCCUUGAAAGUUCUACAACAGCUCUGGCAGCUAGGCUUGCAUGUUCUGCAAACUGAGCCGCUGCUUGAGCAGCAGAGG
RNAcentral lists this long non-coding RNA (491 nucleotides) under Nicotiana tabacum (common tobacco). RNAcentral's name for it is "long non-coding RNA (NTAB_LNC012866)". Lineage: Eukaryota; Viridiplantae; Streptophyta; Magnoliopsida; Solanales; Solanaceae. The record is from RNAcentral.